CCGCGAGGCCGAAGCGACUGCGCCUGCUCUCUAAAAAGAAGCGGUGGGGAGCCCACCCGCUGCGUUCCGUGGGUUGGUGUUGCCGGGCUUUAAUGAAAGUUAAAGGAACUCAUUGUUGAAGGAAUGAAAUUGAGAACAAUGUAAAAGUUAAAAGUGCCAUGUACAGUCCUCGACCCUGAGUCAGUUUUGGUCAACAUUUCGUUGUGUUUCCCCUGAGACAUCGGCUGAGUGCUUGGAGCUACUGGAGAAGAUAGACGUGGAUUUGGUCAGCGGCAGAGCUUUGCUGCGACAACUUCCAGGAGCAAGGAAGUGAAACGUAGGGUGAAGGAGUUAAAGUUUCCCUGCAUUAGGAUGAAACUGUGCCUGUACCUACAAGGUUAACUGGGAAACAGAGUAACCAAAGUUUCUGAGCUUGUCUUGCGGCACAGUGGGAGAACGCUGAUAAGAGAGUAGGUUGCUGACACCUUUCUGCCUAAGCAUCACGCAGGAUCACUGAGAAGCUGCAGGAUCACUGAGAAGCUACGAUGACCGAUUGUGAGCUUCACACGUCAUAGACUAAAGAUCCACCGCAUGCCAACUUAGGACCGCCACCCCCCUGCGUUUGCACGUGACCUGUGAAGAACUAUGAAAGUCGCCGCUGCGCAGAGGACUCUUAGAACUUCAGCCCCCAAGGCCACAUGCUCCCCUCCCCAUCUUAUUCUCACAACAUGCUUUGGAAAAACACUUAGAACUGCACCUAGUGGUGUGAAAGCGAUAUGCAUUCAGUAGAAAGUGUACUGAAUUUUCACAAACUGAACACAUCCGUGCAGCCAUCACUGGAUUGAGAAACAGAACAUGACCGGUGCCCCAGAAGCUCUCCUUAUGCUCCCUUCUGGUCAUUACACCCCUGCCCCAAGGGUAACCACCAUCUUCAUUUCUAACAGCAUGUGCAUCGUCCGUUCAGUUGAAAGUCUUAAGAGCAAAGACUGAAGUUUCCCAGGGAAAGGAGGGAACUCUUCCCCAAGACAAUAACAGAGAAGUUGUGCCUGAGUUUCCAGUCGACCUGCCUACCUGCCCUAUGGAUCGCAAACUCAAGACUACAACAUCAACUCCCACCUGAGUUUUCAGCCCGCCAGCCUGUUCUACAGAUUCCAGAGUUGCCAGCCCUAACAGUCACAUAAAACAAUUCCCUGAAAUAUAUGGAGAGAUAUAUAUUGGUCCUGUAUUUCUGGAGAACACUGACUAUUAUAGAUUUUGAUAGCAAGUGUGUCUAGAGGAAGAGAAUCUUAAGGGUGAAUUUUCUCAAUUCGUUCUGUGGUUUCUGGAAAUGGUUCCCUACUCUGAUUAAAUUUAAAGGCACUGAGGACUCUAUUUCCAGUGGUAAAGGAGCACCAAUAGUCCAUAGCAUGAUGUGGCAAUAGAGAUACCCAAAAUAUCAACAUUGGAUACUCCUACUCAAAUACCUAUGAGAAGCAAGGUUCUGAGUGACCAUAUAUUUGAUAACUUAGAAUAUUUUUGUUAAACUAGUGAAUAUAAUGAGACUGGCUGGUUGCUUUUAGCUGUACUAGAAAAGUAGAUAAAGAAAAGGAUGAGCUGAGGGCUUCAAAUUCCCAGCUCAAGCACCACAUAACUGACUAGAAAGUUUCUACGUCUGCUCUGAAAGAACCACUUAUGUCCUAUCACCAUAGAGCUGAGAUUUCUGAAAACCAAAACGAGGGUCUCACCCUACAAGUGGUUGAAUUACAACACAAAUUGAAUUCUCAGCCUCACAGGAAACCUCUGCUGGAUUGAAAAAAAACAAAAACAAGAUCCUGAAAAUUGGAAUGGUGACGUAAGGGCAGAUCCUGGUGAAGCUGGGGACACUGAACCUUAAAUUCUGUGAGUCGCCCUUGCCAGUAGAAGCAACACUUCCACUCCAACAUCUGAGGAUGUUGACCCUGCUUUGCCUGAGGAGCCUGUAAUGGGCUCUUCUGAGGUAGUCACCUUGUAAGACGCUGCUGAUUCCCCUCAGGACUCACCCCAGGCACCCCUCUUUGCUUCUAGAACUGUAGCAAAACUCAAGUCCCAGCAAGCCUGAAAAGAUGAGGUACAAGGUUUGACCCAUGAGGAGGUGCACCAUGCUCCAAAAGAACUGCAUUAUUUUUUCCAAUUUAUACAGUAUAUUAUAUACUGUAUUAUAUUACAUUAUACAAUUAUAAUUAUAUAUAUAGUAUAUAUUAUAUUAUACAAUGUAUAUUGUGGCAGUGGAUAUUAAGAGGGUGGGAGAAUGAUGGAGGGUAGAUAAAGUAGGAUUGGGCUGAAUUUAUUGAUAUGAACCUACUAAGCAGAGGUUCUGGAUUCAAUGUUGUAACUCAAGGGGUUAGACAGGACUCUAACUGGUUGGCUGGUUUGUUGGUUGGUUGUUUGGUUGGCUGGCUGAAACAUGGACCAAAAAGUGAUCCACAAUAAAUGAAGAAAUGUCAGAACUGCCUUGGUAUACUGUAAAGGAAGGGAUCCAAAGGCAUAGUGAGAUUGGAAUGUUAGAGUGUAUUUAUCAUGUAAGACCUGCUCACCCACUCCGGGAGGGUCUGGAGGACACACCUUUCACCAUGACUGUGAGAAAUAAAUUUGUCAAAG
Equus caballus (horse) is the source of this 2595-nucleotide long non-coding RNA. The record is from Ensembl. Lineage: Eukaryota; Metazoa; Chordata; Mammalia; Perissodactyla; Equidae.